RNAcentral lists this microRNA precursor (79 nucleotides) under Python bivittatus (Burmese python). Its description in RNAcentral is "microRNA pbv-mir-155b precursor". Its record names the gene pbv-mir-155b. The record is from miRBase by way of RNAcentral. Lineage: Eukaryota; Metazoa; Chordata; Lepidosauria; Squamata; Pythonidae.
CCAGACAGUGUUAAUGCUACUCAUGUUGGGAGUUUGAAAUAACACUCACUCCUCUUCCAGUAGCAUUUACUCUUACUGA